This 76-nucleotide non-coding RNA is filed under the name Pelomonas sp. Root1444. Its description in RNAcentral is "Alpha-proteobacteria SAM riboswitch aptamer". It matches the Rfam family "Alpha-proteobacteria SAM riboswitch aptamer". Rfam says of the family: This family is a riboswitch found predominantly in alpha-proteobacteria that binds S-adenosyl methionine (SAM). This SAM riboswitch is located upstream of the metA and metC genes in Agrobacterium tumefaciens, and other methionine and SAM biosynthesis genes in other alpha-proteobacteria. RNAcentral also lists the same sequence under 1 other name. The record is from Rfam by way of RNAcentral. Lineage: Bacteria; Pseudomonadati; Pseudomonadota; Betaproteobacteria; Burkholderiales; Sphaerotilaceae.
CAAUCCCUCAGCGCCGAUUUGUUCCGGAUUGCGGGCGCUCUACAAAUGCCGCUAAACAGGGCUCCGAGCAACCGGC